RNAcentral lists this microRNA precursor (55 nucleotides) under Octodon degus (degu). RNAcentral describes it as "microRNA 484 (ENSODEG00000021967.1)". It matches the Rfam family "mir-484 microRNA precursor family", at positions 1 to 54 of the family's 67-position model. Lineage: Eukaryota; Metazoa; Chordata; Mammalia; Rodentia; Octodontidae. The record is from RNAcentral.
CUCGUCAGGCUCAGUCCCCUCCGGAUAAACCCCGAAAUGGGGGUCUUCCCGAGGG